RNAcentral lists this ribosomal RNA (406 nucleotides) under uncultured bacterium. RNAcentral describes it as "bacterial SSU rRNA". It matches the Rfam family "Bacterial small subunit ribosomal RNA", at positions 356 to 776 of the family's 1533-position model. The record is from RNAcentral.
CGAGAAUCAUUCACAAUGGGGGAAACCCUGACGCAGCAACGCCGCGUGAAGGAAGACGGUUUUCGGAUGGUAAACUUCUUUUGUUAAGGACGAAAAAGAUGACGGUACUUAACGAAUAAGCUCCGGCUAACGAUGUGCCAGCAGCCGCGGUAAUACAUAGGGAGCAAGCGUUGUCCGGAUUUACUGGGUGUAAAGGGUGCGUAGGCGGCAAGGCAAGUCAGAUGUGAAAUGUAUGGGCUCAACCCAUAAGCUGCAUUUGAAACUGUUUUGCUUGAGUGAAGUAGAGGCAGGCGGAAUUCCCGGUGUAGCGGUGAAAUGCGUAGAGAUCGGGAGGAACACCAGUGGCGAAGGCGGCCUGCUGGGCUUUAACUGACGCUGAGGCACGAAAGCGUGGGUAGCAAACAGG